GGCUCAGAACGAACGCUUGCGGCGUGCUUAACACAUGCAAGUCGAACGAGAAAGGGACUUCGGUCCUGAGUAAAGUGGCGCACGGGUGAGUAACGCGUAGGUAAUCUACCCCUGUGUUCGGGACAACAUCGGGAAACUGGUGCUAAUACCGGAUACGUUUCACGGAUUGCGAAAUAAGUGAAGGAAAGAUGGCGACCCUUCGGGGGCUAUUGCACGGGGAUGAGCCUGCGUACCAUUAGCUAGUUGGCAGGGUAAGGGCCUACCAAGGCGACGAUGGUUAGCGGGUCUGAGAGGAUGAUCCGCCACACUGGCACUGGAACACGGGCCAGACUCCUACGGGAGGCAGCAGUGAGGAAUUUUGCACAAUGGGGGAAACCCUGAUGCAGCGACGCCGCGUGAGUGACGAAGGUCUUCGGAUCGUAAAGCUCUGUCAGCAGGGAAGAAAUGUAUCAUGGCUAAUAUCCAUGGUACUUGACGGUACCUGCAAAGGAAGCACCGGCUAACUCCGUGCCAGCAGCCGCGGUAAUACGGAGGGUGCGAGCGUUGUUCGGAUUUACUGGGCGUAAAGGGCGCGUAGGCGGUUUUAUAAGCCAGAUGUGAAAGCCCACGGCUCAACCGUGGAAGUGCAUCUGGAACUGUAAGACUUGAGUACUGGAGGGGAGUGUGGAAUUCCCGGUGUAGAGGUGAAAUUCGUAGAUAUCGGGAGGAAUACCGGUGGCGAAGGCGACACUCUGGACAGAUACUGACGCUGAGGCGCGAAAGCGUGGGGAGCAAACAGGAUUAGAUACCCUGGUAGUCCACAGCUGUAAACGAUGUGCACUAGGUGUGGGGGGUCGUUGACCCUUUCCGUGCCGUAGCUAACGCGAUAAGUGCACCGCCUGGGGAGUACGGUCGCAAGAUAAAACUC
Molecule: ribosomal RNA, 907 nt
Filed under: uncultured bacterium
Lineage: Bacteria
Description: bacterial SSU rRNA
Rfam family: Bacterial small subunit ribosomal RNA
Source: RNAcentral